This 465-nucleotide ribosomal RNA is filed under the name uncultured bacterium. Its description in RNAcentral is "partial 16S ribosomal RNA". It matches the Rfam family "Bacterial small subunit ribosomal RNA", at positions 28 to 507 of the family's 1533-position model. The record is from RNAcentral.
GACGAACGCUGGCGGCGUGCUAAACACAUGCAAGUCGAACGGAAAGGCCCUGCUUGCAGGGUACUCGAGUGGCGAACGGGUGAGUAACACGUGGGUGAUCUGCCCUGCACUUCGGGAUAAGCCUGGGAAACUGGGUCUAAUACCGGAUAGGAGCCAUUUUUAGUGUGAUGGUUGGAAAGUUUUUUCGGUGUAGGAUGAGCUCGCGGCCUAUCAGCUUGUUGGUGGGGUAAUGGCCUACCAAGGCGGCGACGGGUAGCCGGCCUGAGAGGGUGGACGGCCACAUUGGGACUGAGAUACGGCCCAGACUCCUACGGGAGGCAGCAGUGGGGAAGAUUGCACAAUGGGCGCAAGCCUGAUGCAGCGACGCCGCGUGGGGGAUGACGGCCUUCGGGUUGUAAACUCCGUUCGCUAGGGACGAAGCUUUUUGUGACGGUACCUAGAUAAGAAGCACCGGCUAACUACGUG